AUGGAGAGAUUAGAGAAGCUGGGACACACAAAGACCUGAUGAAAGCAAAGGAUCGAUAUGCUCAACUUAUCAACAAUUACCAGCUGGAGCAGCCGAAUGAUCAGAACCAAGACCAAGCAGCCUCAGAAGUGAAAAAGGGCCCAACAGAA
This is a long non-coding RNA of Chanos chanos (milkfish), 149 nucleotides long. RefSeq lists it as uncharacterized. The transcript has 2 exons. The record is from RefSeq and is a predicted model, not a curated record. Lineage: Eukaryota; Metazoa; Chordata; Actinopteri; Gonorynchiformes; Chanidae.